UACGGGGGGGGCAAGCGUUGUUCGGAAUUACUGGGCGUAAAGGGCUCGUAGGCGGCCAACUAAGUCAGACGUGAAAUCCCUCGGCUUAACCGGGGAACUGCGUCUGAUACUGGAUGGCUUGAGUGUGGGAGAGGAAUGCGGAAUUCCAGGUGUAGCGGUGAAAUGCGUAGAUAUCGGAAGGAACACCAGUGGCGAAAGCGGCUUCCUGGUCCGACACCGACGUUCAGGCACGAAAGCGUGGGGAGCAAACAGG
Molecule: ribosomal RNA, 253 nt
Filed under: uncultured bacterium
Lineage: Bacteria
Description: partial 16S ribosomal RNA
Rfam family: Bacterial small subunit ribosomal RNA
Source: RNAcentral